UCAGGACGAACGCUGGCGGCGUGCUUAACACAUGCAAGUCGAACGGAAAGGCCCUGCUUUGUGGGGUGCUCGAGUGGCGAACGGGUGAGUAACACGUGAGUAACCUGCCCUUGACUUUGGGAUAACUUCAGGAAACUGGGGCUAAUACCGGAUAGGAGCUCCUGCUGCAUGGUGGGGGUUGGAAAGUUUCGGCGGUUGGGGAUGGACUCGCGGCUUAUCAGCUUGUUGGUGGGGUAGUGGCUUACCAAGGCUUUGACGGGUAGCCGGCCUGAGAGGGUGACCGGCCACAUUGGGACUGAGAUACGGCCCAGACUCCUACGGGAGGCAGCAGUGGGGAAUAUUGCACAAUGGGCGGAAGCCUGAUGCAAGCAACGCCGCGUGCGGGAUGACGGCCUUCGGGUUGUAAACCGCUUUCGCCUGUGACGAAGCGUGAGUGACGGUAAUGGGUAAAGAAGCACCGGCUAACUACGUGCCAGCCGCUGC
RNAcentral lists this ribosomal RNA (483 nucleotides) under uncultured bacterium. RNAcentral describes it as "bacterial SSU rRNA". It matches the Rfam family "Bacterial small subunit ribosomal RNA", at positions 24 to 518 of the family's 1533-position model. The record is from RNAcentral.